RNAcentral lists this ribosomal RNA (451 nucleotides) under uncultured bacterium. Its description in RNAcentral is "bacterial SSU rRNA". It matches the Rfam family "Bacterial small subunit ribosomal RNA", at positions 329 to 794 of the family's 1533-position model. The record is from RNAcentral.
UUCCAGACUCCUACGGGAGGCAGCAGUGGGGGAUAUUGCACAAUGGGGGAAACCCUGAUGCAGCGACGCCGCGUGUGGGAAGACGGUCCUCUGGAUUGUAAACCACUGUCCCCAGGGACGAAGAUGACGGUACCUGGGGAGGAAGCUCCGGCUAACUACGUGCCAGCAGCCGCGGUCAUACGUAGGAUCCGAGCAUUAUCCGGAGUGACUGGGUGUAAAGAGUUGCGUAGGUGGCAUAAUAAGUAGCUAGUGAAAUCUGGUGGCUCAACCAUUCAGACUAUUAGCUAAACUGUUAAGCUCGAGACCGUUAGGGGUAACUGGAAUUUCUAGUGUAGGAGUGAAAUCCGUAGAUAUUAGAAGGAACACCAAUAGCGUAGGCAGGUUGCUGGGACGGUUCUGACACUAAGGCACGAAAGCGUAGGGAGCAAACGGGAUUAGAUACCCCAGUACU